RNAcentral lists this long non-coding RNA (319 nucleotides) under Populus trichocarpa (black cottonwood). RNAcentral describes it as "long non-coding RNA (PTRI_LNC000301)". Lineage: Eukaryota; Viridiplantae; Streptophyta; Magnoliopsida; Malpighiales; Salicaceae. The record is from RNAcentral.
GAGGUGGAUGUGAGCUUGGAAGGUAGCAUUAUACUAUGCCGACAAGUUGAUCAGCCAGGUAUGAUUGGCAAGGUUGGAAGCGUGUUGGGAGUAGAGAAUGUCAAUGUCAGCUUCAUGAGUGUUGGAAGGAUUGCUCCACGAAAGCAAGCUGUCAUGGCAAUUGGAGUUGAUGAGCAACCCAGCAAAGAAACUUUGAAAAAGAUUGGCGAUAUCCCAGCCGUUGAAGAGUUCGUUUUCCUCAAGUUAUAGGGUGGCUUUGUCAUUUUGCUAAUUUUUUUCCAUGGCAAUUCUACUGGAGUGGGUAUCAUUACUUCAUUGU